This 1494-nucleotide ribosomal RNA is filed under the name Candidatus Giovannonibacteria bacterium GW2011_GWB1_43_13. RNAcentral's name for it is "bacterial SSU rRNA". It matches the Rfam family "Bacterial small subunit ribosomal RNA". Lineage: Bacteria; Candidatus Giovannoniibacteriota. The record is from RNAcentral.
AAGAGAGUUUGAUCCUGGCUCAGGAUGAACGCUGGCGGCGUGGAUAAUGCAUGCAAGUCGAACGCCCCGCCCUUUCUUUGAGCAAUCUUAGAAAGGGCGGGGAGUGGCAGACGAGUUAGUAACACGUAGGAACUUACCCCCGACGCGGCCAUAACUCUUCGAAAGAGGAGCUAAUAGCCGAUGGUCUCCGAUCUCGCAAGAGCAUCGGAGUAAAGGAGCAAUCCGGUCGGGGAGAGGCCUGCGGGCUAUCAGCUAGUUGGCGAGGUAAUGGCUCACCAAGGCUAUGACGGCUAGGGGGCGUGAGAGCGCGAUCCCCAACGAUGGAACUGAGACACGGUCCAUACACCUACGGGUGGCAGCAGUAGAGAAUAUUCGACAAUGGGGGAAACCCUGAUCGAGCGACGCCGCGUGCGGGAAGAAGCUCUUCGGAGCGUAAACCGCUUUUCUCUGGGAGGAACUAAAGUGACUGUACCAGAGGAAUAAGGGCUUGCUAACCUCGUGCCAGCAGCCGCGGUAAGACGAGGAGCCCAAGCGUUAUCCGGAUUUACUGGGCGUAAAGGGUGUGUAGGGGGCAUGGUUAGCCCCGCCUUAAAUUCUUAGGCUCAACCUAAGAGGUGGGCGGGGAACGGCCAAGCUUUAGAGGGUGCCAGAGGCAAAUGGAACUCAUGGUGUAGGGGUGAAAUCCGUUGAUAUCAUGGGGAACACCGAAGGCGAAGGCAAUUUGCUGGGGCAUUCCUGACCCUGAAACACGAAAGCGUGGGGAUCAAAAAGGAUUACAAAUUUGUAGAUACCCUUGUAGUCCACGCCCUAAACGAUGCACGCUAGGCAUCCGAAGUAUCGACCCUUCGGGAGCCGUAAGCUAACGCGUUAAGCGUGCCGCCUGGGAAGUACGAACGCAAGUUUAAAACUCAAAGGAAUAGACGGGGACUCGCACAAGCGGUGGAGCAUGUGGUUCAAUUCGAUGGUAAACGAAAAACCUUACCAGGGCUUGAAAUGGAUCUGACGGCGCUCGAAAGAGUUGCCCUCUCACAAGGACAGAUUCACAGGUGAUGCAUGGCUGUCGUCAGUUCGUGGCUUGAGUUGUUCCCUUAAGUGGGGUAACGAACGCAACCCUUAUCGCGCGUUACAAGUGUCGCGCGAGACUGCCUCGAUAAACGGGGAGGAAGGCGAGGAUGACGCCAAGUCCGCAUGUCCCUCUGAUGCCCUGGGCUACACACGUGCUACAAUGCCCUCUACAAUGGGCCGCGAUGCCGUAAGGCGGAGCAAAUCCCAUCAAAGGAGGGCCCAGUUCGGAUUGAGGUCUGCAACCCGACCUCAUGAAGUUGGAAUCGCUAGUAAUCGCAGGUCAGCUAUACUGCGGUGAAUACGUUCUCGAGUCUUUUAAUGUUGGAGAAAUGAGAGCGCUAAGAAACGUUGGGAAAGGGCGGGGGAAGGUAAGCUCGGUGACAAAGCAAAAGUCGUAACAAGGCACGGCUAGCGGAAGCUGGUCGUGGA